This 380-nucleotide unclassified non-coding RNA is filed under the name uncultured Verrucomicrobiae bacterium. Its description in RNAcentral is "contains 16S-23S intergenic spacer region". The record is from RNAcentral. Lineage: Bacteria; Pseudomonadati; Verrucomicrobiota; Verrucomicrobiia.
UCCGAGUUAACCCCGGCAGUCUCCCGUGAGUCCCCAACUGAAUGCUGGCAACUAAGAGCAGGGGUUGCGCUCGUUGCGGCACUUAACCCAACAUCUCACGACACGAGCUGACGACAGCCAUGCAGCACCUGUGUAGGCUGGUAUUGCUACCUCGUUGCCCUUUCAGGCUCCUACUACCUACAUGUCAAGGCCAGGUAAGGUUCUUCGCGUUGCAUCGAAUUAAGCCACAUACUCCACCGCUUGUGCAGGCCCCCGUCAAUUUCUUUGAGUUUUAAUCUUGCGACCGUACUUCCCAGGCGGCACGUUUAACGCGUUAGCUUCGCCACGAAAGGAUUCGACACCUCUCACAGCAAACGUGCACCGUUUACAGCUAGGACUAC